This 407-nucleotide ribosomal RNA is filed under the name uncultured bacterium. RNAcentral's name for it is "partial 16S ribosomal RNA". It matches the Rfam family "Bacterial small subunit ribosomal RNA", at positions 28 to 526 of the family's 1533-position model. The record is from RNAcentral.
GACGAACGCUGGCGGCGUGCCUAAUACAUGCAAGUAGAACGCAGUUGCUAACGGGUGAGUAACGUGUAGGUAACUGUCCGGUAGCGGGGGAUAACUAUUGGAAACGAUAGUUAAUACCGAAUAAUAUCAGAUGGACCUGCGUUGUAUUAGCUAGUUGGUGGGGUAACGGCUAACCAAGGCAACGAUACAUAGCCGACCUGAGAGGGUGAUCGGCCUCCUCGGGACUGAGACGCGGCCCCGACUCCUACGGGAGGCAGCAGUUGGGAAUCUUCGGCAAUAGGCGGAAGUCUGACCGCGCAACGCCGCGUGGGUGGAGAGGGUUUUCGGAUCGUAAAGCUCUGUUGUAAGAGAAGCGGUAUCUUACCAGGAAGGGGCGGCUAACUACGUGCCAGCAGCCGCGGUAAUUC